This 280-nucleotide unclassified non-coding RNA is filed under the name uncultured fungus. Its description in RNAcentral is "partial contains small subunit ribosomal RNA, internal transcribed spacer 1, and 5.8S ribosomal RNA". The stretch from base 1 to 73 matches the Rfam family "Eukaryotic small subunit ribosomal RNA", at positions 1759 to 1831 of the family's 1831-position model. Lineage: Eukaryota; Fungi. The record is from RNAcentral.
GCAAACUUGGUCAUUUAGAGGAAGUAAAAGUCGUAACAAGGUCUCCGUUGGUGAACCAGCGGAGGGAUCAUUACCGAGUUUACAACUCCCAAACCCAUGUGAACAUACCUUAUGUUGCUUCGGCGAGUUCGCCCCGGCGCCUUCGGGCCCGGAUCCAGGCGCUCGCCGGAGGUCUUAAACUCUUUGUUUUUACAGUGGUAUUAUCUGAGUGGAUUUUACAAAUAAAAUCAAAACUUUCAACAACGGAUCUCUUGGUUCUGGCAUCGAUGAAGAACGCAGC